Molecule: ribosomal RNA, 406 nt
Filed under: uncultured prokaryote
Description: bacterial SSU rRNA
Rfam family: Bacterial small subunit ribosomal RNA
Source: RNAcentral
UUAGGAAUCUUGCACAAUGGGGGAAACCCUGAUGCAGCGACGCCGCGUGAGUGAUGAAGUUUUUCGGAAUGUAAAACUCUGUCCUACAGGGAAGAAGAAUGUGACGGUACCUGUAGAGAAAGCCCCGGCUAACUACGUGCCAGCAGCCGCGGUAAUACGUAGGGGGCGAGCGUUGUCCGAAUUUAUUGGGCGUAAAGCGCGUGUAGGCGGCUCUUUAAGUCAGAUGUGAAAUCCUGCGGCUCAACCGCAGAACUGCAUUUGAUACUGGAGGGCUUGAGUGUGGGAGAGGAAAGUGGAAUUCCAGGUGUAGCGGUGAAAUGCGUAGAUAUCUGGAGGAACACCCGUGGCGAAGGCGGCUUUCUGGCCCACCACUGACGCUGAGACGCGAAGGCUAGGGGAGCGAACA